CCUUCGAUAGCUCUGUUGGUAGAGCGGAGGACUGUAGAUCCUUAGGUCGCUGGUUCGAAUCCGGCUCGAAGAA
RNAcentral lists this transfer RNA (73 nucleotides) under Saccoglossus kowalevskii. RNAcentral describes it as "tRNA-Tyr". It matches the Rfam family "tRNA". Rfam says of the family: Transfer RNA (tRNA) molecules are approximately 80 nucleotides in length. Their secondary structure includes four short double-helical elements and three loops (D, anti-codon, and T loops). The record is from RNAcentral. Lineage: Eukaryota; Metazoa; Hemichordata; Enteropneusta; Harrimaniidae.